Cephus cinctus (wheat stem sawfly) is the source of this 1533-nucleotide long non-coding RNA. RefSeq lists it as uncharacterized. NCBI's taxonomy places the organism in Eukaryota, Metazoa, Arthropoda, Insecta, Hymenoptera, Cephidae. The transcript is spliced from 3 exons. The record is from RefSeq and is a predicted model, not a curated record.
AAAUUAAGAAAAUAAUUGUAUCCACAUUAUCGUGACGGUGGUUAUUGCUAAACUUUAGGGAAAAAAAUCCAUAGAAGUCAACAAUGAAAUGCUGGAAAAGAUAAUUCCUAACGAACCGACGUACGGUAUGGAAUUAUUGAUAUUGUUUAAUCAAAUUGGCAGUCAGUUUUUAAUAAUUCAUAGAUUUCGCAUUUGCUUAUGUUCCGUGAAGACUUUAUUAUUUUAUCAAAAGUUUUUCGUCUCUCCAAUAAUAGACUCGGUUCCGUAGUGACGCCCUUCUUAAAACAGAUGGCGCGCGAUGAUGAAAUAAACUCAUCUCAUGAAUUCUGGCGGGACGUAGAAUUCCAGUACUUGGCUACAAUUACAGGGAAGAAAAGUAUGGCUAGUGCAUUAACUAGGUGGCACCGUGAUCUCCCCUUGGUGCAGUGAGCUAUACGUAGGCGGAGCAAUACUUGCCUCAUGCUGUGAAGAAAAAAAAAGAAAUGAAAAGGGCGGGCCUAAUGUCUGAGAGGUUUAAACAACAUGGCCGAUAUACAUUAUUUAUACCACAGUAGCGAUUCAAGUUGUCUACCGACGGCCGACGUCUGGCCCGAGCUUUAGCCCAGUCAACCUACAACGCGUAGCCUCGGGGCUGUUGUGGAGCCAUGGAAAACACUUAAAAACUAUCGCUCGCUUUGUCACUAAGCUUAUUUGACCUCUAGACGUAGGAGCUCGAGUCUAGACUCACGUCCCUUCCUACCACGUCUAUGACGUAGAACGCUGGUAGGGAUGCGCGACGAAUAACUCGGCUCGAAUAACACAAGGAGGUUAUGGCGUGAAUUUCCUCAUGUCGAGUGCGCAUAAAUUUUGAGUGGAAAAUUGUCGACACACCAAUGGCGUUACACGUCUAAAGCGUGGAUCGGAGGACAGAAGAGCGAAGGGGACAGUGUUUCUAAUUUAUGGUUUCCUCGUGGCAGCAAUGUAACGUGGAUAUAUGCAUAAGCUUCCCAGCGGUACCGAGAGAAACGAGGGGAAUCGAGGAGCUUGCGGAUUUCCGGUACAGCUAACGACACCUAUCGUCAACGAGAAAAAACACGACGGUCAAGAGUCGAGGCGGACGGCGAAGCAACAAAAAAUAACCUACGCAACUGACGCACGUGUACGAGACAUGAUGAAUUUCAUUAAAAAAAUAAAUAAAUAAAUAAAUAAAUAACCAUAAAAUCUUUUACCUGCUUUUUUUCUCUCAUUCUUAUUCUUCGUUGCGUGCUUGCACAAAUCUCAAUUGAAAAACUUGGCAACUACCGAGUUACGAUUUUUUCUCUUAAUCAUGACAAAUGAACAUUUCUUUCAGUAACAAUAAUCUCUUGUAUUUUUCACAGCGAGUCCUACAACCGCUUACACUUUCGACUCCUUCGCUUGUACAGCCUUUUUUAAACGUUUAACGUCCCUACACGCUCAACGUAAAGCGAACGACAAUUCGAGAGGCAAUGCGCGGGACUUUCGAGUCCGUUGAAUUCCGCGAACGGGCUGAUCGACUGUGGCACCGUUUUACAG